ACACACAUACUCAAUAGUUAUAUGAUGAAAUUUGACAUGAUCAUGUUUCUUUUACAAUUGAGCCCUUGAUUAAUUCACACCCUAUGUUUUUUUCAACCUUUAUCUACCCAAUUUUCCAUGAUUCAAGUGUUUUUCAUUCCAUGUUUGAGUUGUUUACUAUGUUUAUGUCAAGUUCAAUUAAUCAAAAUGAACAUGGUUAAUUUUCUGGCAUUGAUUGUCAAGAAAUUUCAUUGUUUGGUCUUGUUUUCUUUCUCUCUAAUUCUGCCACCUUUCAAAAUUGCUAUCAGCUAACUUUUUGCAAUCCCAAAUUGACAUCCCAUGAAACAGCUAGCUAUGUUCUGUUUUUUUUAGGUUCCUUCUGUUUUUAUUGAAAUCAAAUCGCACACUUUUUUCUUCUUUGACGGGUGUAAGCUCGUUCAUUAAAUGAUUUUGAAGAGGUUCAAACUUAUGUCAUCACCCUAUUAUAGGUUUUAACUUUUAAUUUGUCUACCACCUAUGACUUAUGACUCCGUUUUGGUUGUCUUGUUCGGUACUUCUAAAUAUUUACUAGAUAUAUGUAGCGAAAUACUAGGUUUUGGUUGUCUACCACCUAUGACUUAUGACUCCGUUUUGGUUGUCUUGUUCGGUACUUCUAAAUAUUAGGUACUACUUAGGCACUUAAUUUUUGUCAAUUAUUUGGAUACUUGUUGAAUAUAUUUUAACCAAAACUUAAUUUUUUUAAUCAGCUUUUAUUCCUGUUGCAUUCGUAUCUGGUACCGCCGUACCGGUGCAACAU
This 775-nucleotide long non-coding RNA is filed under the name Lotus japonicus. RNAcentral describes it as "long non-coding RNA (LJAP_LNC000985)". Lineage: Eukaryota; Viridiplantae; Streptophyta; Magnoliopsida; Fabales; Fabaceae. The record is from RNAcentral.